ACCUGGCUGGCUCAGUUGGUGAGAGCAUGAGACUACUGAUCUCAGGAUUGUGAGUUCAAGCCCCAUGCUGGGUA
Non-coding RNA from Odobenus rosmarus divergens (Pacific walrus), 74 nucleotides. Lineage: Eukaryota; Metazoa; Chordata; Mammalia; Carnivora; Odobenidae. The record is from the annotation of a RefSeq genome assembly.